Molecule: ribosomal RNA, 253 nt
Filed under: uncultured bacterium
Lineage: Bacteria
Description: partial 16S ribosomal RNA
Rfam family: Bacterial small subunit ribosomal RNA
Source: RNAcentral
UACGUAGGGGGCAAGCGUUGUCCGGAAUCAUUGGGCGUAAAGAGCGCGUAGGCGGUCCGGUAAGUCCGCUCUGAAAGUCCGGGGCUCAACCCCGGGAGGCGGGCGGAUACUGUCGGGCUAGAGUCCGGAAGAGGCGAGUGGAAUUCCUGGUGUAGCGGUGAAAUGCGCAGAUAUCAGGAGGAACACCAAUGGCGAAGGCAGCUCGCUGGGACGGUACUGACGCUGAGGCGCGAAGGCGUGGGGAGCGAACGGG